Molecule: ribosomal RNA, 441 nt
Filed under: Tetracanthella wahlgreni
Lineage: Eukaryota; Metazoa; Arthropoda; Collembola; Entomobryomorpha; Isotomidae
Description: partial 16S ribosomal RNA
Rfam family: Bacterial large subunit ribosomal RNA (bases 291-441)
Source: RNAcentral
AUAAUCAUUAGUCUCUUAAUUAGAGAAUGGAAUGAAUGGCCUAACGUAGUUUUAUUUUUUUAUUUAACUUAUCUGAAUUUAAAUUUGAAGUGAAAAUGCUUUAUUUUCUUUUUAGACGAUAAGACCCUUUAGAGUUUUAUUUAUUUUUUUUUAUUAUCAAAAUUAGUAUAAUUUAAUUAUUUAAAAUAAAUUUUAUUGGGGCAAUAAAAGAAUAAAUUUAACUUCUUUAUACUGGUUACUAUAAAUUUUAUUAACUUACUUUUAUAAAUAAAAUAACAAACUACCUAAGGGAUAACAGCGUUAUUAAAAUUAAGAGUUCUUAUCGACAUUUUAGUUUGCGACCUCGAUGUUGAAUUAAAAAUCCCCAAGGGGGCAGCUUCUUUUUAGGGUAGUCUGUUCGACUAUAAAAUUUUUACAUGAUUUGAGUUCAAAUCGGCGUGA